Molecule: transfer RNA, 52 nt
Filed under: Brevicoryne brassicae (cabbage aphid)
Lineage: Eukaryota; Metazoa; Arthropoda; Insecta; Hemiptera; Aphididae
Description: tRNA-Cys
Source: RNAcentral
AAACCUUAAUUAAAUAAUUUAAUACCUUUAAAUUUGCAAUUUAAUAUCAUAU